AUGGAAGUAAAAGUCGUAACAGGUUUCCGUAGGUGAACCUGCGGAAGGAUCAUUAAAAAAUGUGGUACCAAUUAUUGGUACUAAUUAAUCAUCCUACCCUUUGUGAAUUUGUUCGUGACGAAUUUUUUUAAAUGGGUCUUUCCCUAAGUUGGAUUGUAGUAAAAUACAAAAAGACUUAGGGGAAUGACUUUUUAAAAGACUUUUUUUAAAUUAAAACUUUUUGUAUCAUUGUCUAAAUUUAUUUUAUAAUAUAAAAACAACUUUGACAAUGGAUCUCUUGGUUCUCGCAACGAUGAAGAACGCAGCAAAAUGCGAUAAGUAGUGUGAAUUGCAGAAUACGUGAAUCAUCGAAUCUUCGAACGCAUAUUGCACUUUUUAGUUUACUAAAAAGUAUGUCUGUUUGAGUAUCAGUAAAAUAUUCUCACAAACAUAUAUUGUUGUGGUUAUGAGUGUUUUACAACGAUAACAAGUUGUUUCACUUUAAAUUCUUUUUAAUGUUUUACUACCAUUAUAAAUUAAAUUGGAUAAAAUUUUCCUUUAACGAGGAAUAACCUAAACAAUUUUAAAUUUUUAUGGUUGUAAAAUCCAUAAGGAAUCUAUACAUAAAUAACUUGAUCUCAAUCAGAUAAGAGUACCCGCUGAACUUAAGCAUAUCAAUAAGCGGAGGAAAAGAACUAACAAGGAUUCCCUAGUACGGCGAGUGAAGCGGAAGAGCUCAAUUUGAAAUCUUCAAGGUUUGACCUUGACGAAUUGUAGUUUAUAGAAGUGUUUUCUGUUGGAGUUUGGUAAAAGUCUUUGGAAUAGGACAUCAUAGAGGGUGAGAAUCCCGUAUUUGACCAUGACUUUCCAGCUGUGUGAUACACUUUCAAAGAGUCGGAUUGUUGGGAAUGCAGUCCAAAAUGGGUGGUAAAUUUCAUCUAAAGCUAAAUAUUGGCGAGAGACCGAUAGCGAACAGUACCGUGAGGGAAGAUGAAAAGAACUUUGAAAGAGAGUUAAACAGUACGUGAAAUUGUCAAAAGGGAAGCGUUUGACACCAGUGUUGUUUUCUCGAAAAUCAAUUAAUGAGUUCUUGUUUUUAAGUUAUUGUGACUUUAUCAGCGCAUUUCUUAUUUUACUUGACUCAUUGAAUGCACUUUUCGUUUAACAAGUCAACAUCAAUUUCUUUGGUGGUAAAAAGUUUAAAGGAAGUGGCUUGGACUUCGGUUCAAGUGUUUAUAGCCUUUUUUCUAUGCCAUCGGAGAGAUUGAGGUCUGCAGCGUAGAUCCUUCGGGGUUAGAUACCUUUGUGCUAAGUUAUAGUUUUUUAUAGACAACUUGUUGACUAUAAUUAACCUGUAAUUUACUCGCUUAGGCUAUUUUACCUACGCUUAGGAUGUGAG
This 1378-nucleotide unclassified non-coding RNA is filed under the name uncultured Neocallimastigales. Its description in RNAcentral is "partial contains small subunit ribosomal RNA, internal transcribed spacer 1, 5.8S ribosomal RNA, internal transcribed spacer 2, and large subunit ribosomal RNA". The stretch from base 613 to 1378 matches the Rfam family "Eukaryotic large subunit ribosomal RNA", at positions 1 to 630 of the family's 3401-position model. The record is from RNAcentral. Lineage: Eukaryota; Fungi; Neocallimastigomycota; Neocallimastigomycetes; Neocallimastigales.